This 255-nucleotide ribosomal RNA is filed under the name uncultured bacterium. RNAcentral describes it as "partial 16S ribosomal RNA". It matches the Rfam family "Bacterial small subunit ribosomal RNA", at positions 524 to 776 of the family's 1533-position model. The record is from RNAcentral.
UACGAAGGGGGGCGAGCGUUGUUCGGAAUUACUGGGCGUAAAGGGCGCGCAGGCGGCUCUGAAAGUCAGAUGUGAAAGCCCCGGGCUUAACCUGGGAAUUGCAUUUGAUACUCUGGAGCUUGAGUACGGGAGAGGAUAGUGGAAUUCCCAGUGUAGAGGUGAAAUUCGUAGAUAUUCGCAAGAACACCAGUGGCGAAGGCGGCUCACUGGCCCGAUACUGACGCUGAGGCACGAAAGCGUGGGGGAGCAAACAGG